Molecule: unclassified non-coding RNA, 9491 nt
Filed under: Haliotis rufescens (red abalone)
Lineage: Eukaryota; Metazoa; Mollusca; Gastropoda; Lepetellida; Haliotidae
Description: retinol dehydrogenase 14-like, transcript variant X9
Source: RNAcentral
ACGAGUACAGGCGGUGGUCCUCCCCGCUGAUGAUAAAAUACCUCAAUCGCACGGACUUUGAGCUCGACACACUAUUGAUAGGAAGAAGCUGAGUUUGUCAUGACAUGGUCAGGUUCGCCGCGAACAAUUCUGACAGCCAGCCAUUCAUUAGAUAGCCCAACCUGGUACGAUUAUCGGAAUGAAAAAUACUGAAUAAUUAGUCACACACAGUGGAUGAUAACAUGGUUUCAACUGCGGCCGUCUGAAAAGGGUGUCUGCAAAGUGCUGAGUUAUUUCUAGGUGCAACGAUUGGAAACAUCAAGAACAUUGAACAUUCGUUGUACCUGUAUUCGGUGAGAGUUCCCGGAGAUGGAGUCUUUGGAGGAGAUGUGGAGAUCCCUGGUCGGGCUGACCCACAGCCAUCACAUUCUAAUGUCCUCCGUGCUCGGAGUCGGAUUUGGGUACAUCUUGCUGCGUCAGUGGCUAGUGGGCAGCCCAGUGCGGAGCCAAGCACGGAUGGAUGGCAAGACAGUGCUGAUCACUGGGGGAAACACAGGCAUCGGCAAAGCUACAGCCCAGGAGCUGAUGAAGAGAGGGGCCAGAGUGAUCAUUGCAUGUCGUGAUGUGGUGAAGGGAGCUGCAGCUCUGAAGGACAUCCAUGUGGCUAACAGUCAGAACCAGGGCGCCUGCAAGCUACUGGACCUCGCCUCCUUCCAGUCCAUCCGGUCGUUUGUGGACAACUUCCUGCAGGAGGAGAAGAAGCUGGAUGUGCUCAUUAACAAUGCAGCGGUGGCUAUAGGCCCGAGACUGGAGUCCAGGGACGGCUAUGAGAUGCAGUUUGCAGUGAACCAUCUCGGCCACUUCCUCCUCACCAACCUGCUGCUGGAUGUGAUGAAGAAGUCCGCACCCAGCAGGAUCAUCAACGUUUCAUCUAAAGGCUAUGCAAUGGGAAAAAUGAAUUUUGAUGACAUCAACAGUAAAAAGGAAUACAAAGCGUUUGAUGUGUAUGCCAAAUCCAAGUUAGCCAAUGUGCUGUUCACCAGGGAACUAAGCAGCAGACUUAGAGGCAGUGGUGUGACGGUCAACUGUCUGCAUCCAGGGGUGGUGUACACGGAGAUCGGCCGCAACGUCACCCAGCUCGACUUCAAUUGGCUCAUCAAGUUCCUGUUGGGCACAGUGGGUGAAGCUCUGUACUACCUCUUCGCCAACACACCCAAGCAGGGAGCUCGCACCACUGUGUACUGCGCUGUGGCCCCAGAGAUGGAGAACAUCUCAGGAAAGUUUCUCUCUGACAGUCGGAUCUGUGACCUGCUGCCUCAUGCGAUGGAUGCAGAUGAUGCUGAGAGACUGUGGUGCCUCAGUGAGGAGAUGGUUAAACUCAAGAAACAGGAAUAAACAUCAUAGAAACUGCAACAAUUGUCUACAUAGCCCUCAACUUCUGUCUGGUAUUCAGUCUAUUCUAGACAGUCCGAUUGUACCUGUGUCACUUCCAGGGUCUUCCUUCAUAUUGGAUGAUAUUGACCUGGAUGACCUUCAUGAAACAAAUGAUGUUUUCUGGAUAACCAAAGUCAGUUGGCAGUAGUAUUGGUCGGACAACUAUCUGUGUAAAGAUCCAAGUUUGAUGGGUGACUUAACGUAAUAGUAUCGGCCAUGAAGUAGGCCACUGUCUUCCUGGUGCAUUCAUAUAUAUUUGUCCAAAGGGACAAGAUCAAAUUUGCAGAUAUUUUUCUACAACUUUUGUGUUUUUGUAUAUUCGGAUAAGUAUUUGUCUACAGACAGAGCUUUUUGAAGAUUUUCUUAUAACCGUAAAGCUGGUUUAAUUUAGUGCUAAACACUCUGUGCUUUCAUUGAUGCAAGCCACUAAGCAAGUCAUCAGAUGUACAUAGGGCUUUAUCCCAAGCAUGUAUAGAAUUCAUCAGGCACUGGAGUUGGACCUUAUUUGAUAGACUGGUUCUUGGCUGUUCUUGAGCUGCAUGACCGUUAUGAUGUUUAGACCAGGACUCCAUUAUAUAUUCUGACAAAUCAAAAAAAUCAACAUGUAUGUUGGGAUUUCCUCGUUUUUAACCUUUGAGAAGUGAGUAAUAUUGGACAUUAACAUGCGUUUGUUUCCUAAAAUCAAACAGAACUUUCGUCAAAGACAUUAAUAAUUUUGUAAGGCUCAUCUUGCACCUUUUAUUAUAGGAAUUCAAAGAGUCAUAGUGAUAUAAGAUUUAAGUAAGUAUUUGUUGAAUUUUUUCAGCACCUGACAGAUAUUGGAAGACAAUAAUGGUGGCCAUUCCCAUACUGUCUUCCCUCCACUUGAUAAGAUGUAGUGGUGUACUGGACCUCUGUCCUCCACAGCCAUACUGUUUUUCCUCCACUUGAUAAGGUGUAGUGGUGUACUAGACCUCUGUCCUCCACAGCCAUACUGUCUUCCCUCCACUUGAUAAGGUGUAGUGGGUGUACUAGACCUCUGUCCUCCACAGCCAUACUGUCUUUCCUCCACUUGAUAAGGUGUAAUGGGUGUACUAGACCUCUGUCCUCCACAGCCAUACUGUCUUUCCUCCACUUGAUAAGGUGUAGUGGGUGUACUAGACCUCUGUCCUCCACAGCCAUACUGUCUUUCCUCCACUUGAUAAGGUGUAGUGGGUGUACUGGACCUCUGUCCUCCACAGCCAUACUGUCUUUCCUCCACUUGAUUAGGUGUAGUGGGUGUACUGGACCUCUGUCCUCCACAGCCAUACUGUCUUUCCUCCACUUGAUAAGAUGUAGUGGGUGUACAAGACCUCUGUCCUCCACAAUCUCAACAAUGAAUAUCCUCACCUGUCUGCCAUGUUUACCUCUGCCUAUUCAGUGUUCACUUAUGAUUUUGUACCUGUUCAUGUUUUGCAUGUGUUUUUAGUGUUUGAUGGUGAAUGCAAACAUGUGUUCAUUGGGUGCCAGUUACUUUUCUUUUCAGCUACAUUUUUAUACUGUGAUAAUUUUAACUAUAUGUUUUUAUCCUUCUAUCACUGCUAGAAAUCUACUAGUGUUUACUGAAAUUACAAUGAAAUGCCAUUAUUGGUCACUUAUAAGUUUAAACUUUCGAAAACUAUGACCUAAAACACUUCUUUUCUCCAUCUUCAAGGGGAUGGGCACCCCAGCUUGUCUAUAUCCCAGAGUCUAGAGAAUAAAUUCAAAAAGCAGACCAACUCAAGUCUAGAAUGAUUGGGCAAGCCUAGAUUGCCUCAGCUCUGAAAUUAAGCGAUGUUCUGAGGUCAAUUUGAAUUUUAUUAUUUUGUAGAUAUAUAUUUUUAAAUAAGAUCACGUUAUUUCUGGGACUUAAUGUUAGUCUACACCCUAACAAUUGCAUGAUCCACUUACUACAUGGGCCAAGUCUAUUAUUGAAAAUUGUAUCUUUACAAUCAUCCUGAAGGCAGCCAUUUUAACAAACUGUAAUAUUCUAGAGUAAUCUCCCUUUGAAUAUGCCUUUUAAGGCUGAACCUCAAUACAGCUGAGGCGUUUUCAGGAGGGCGGGCGCUCGCGAUAUUAUGCGAGCGUGCACUGUUGAACACGGCUAACCACACGAGCGCACGUGUGUAGUCCCGAUCGAGCCCGAGAGGUAGUUCGCCUCGUAAUCCAAGAUGGCAUUGCACAUUGAACAAAUGUUUGCCUUUGACGAGAAUGGAACCAAUGUCAAAACAAUAAUUUUUUAGACUAGAUCUACCAUCAAAAAGUUAUUUUUCCAUUUUCAAUAUAUUGACCCGUGAUGAUCAGGGAAGACAAUAGGUCUUCCGCUACCCAUAUGUUUGCCAUAAGGAUCGAGUGAUAAGACUCGCUGACUUGGGUGAUGCAUGUAUCACCAUUGCACAGACCGAUGCUCAUGUCGAUUGCUGGAUUGUCUGGUCCUGCACAGGGACAUGUAACUUAUAAUAAAACUAAACACUUUGUUAUCAUGAACAUCAAAGUAUGAACCCAUCAAACUUGUGAUGAAAUUAAAUGUGUGAACCUAUGACACUUGUGGACAGGGCUGUUUUGAUCCCCGGCGACGCCAUUUUGGAUGCUGUGCCGCGAGAGCGAGUAUGCACCUCCCGUUCAGAAAGGCGUGAUAUUGCCUCACUGUAUUCUCGUGUGGUCGCUCGCCCUCCUGAACACGCCUCUGGUGAAGAUGUUUUGCUAUACAUGUUAUAGGCACUUGUUUGUCUACAGGGGGGAACCACAGGGGGAAGAAAUCCUGUGUCUUUGAUGGGGUCAGUCAGUAUUAGCAGUUUAGUCUAUGCUACUUUUCAGUACAUUUUAAUAUUAUUAUAGGGACGAUUAUUAGCUGAGUUUAUCAGACCCAACAGACUUUUACUCAACUCGCGCUUCGGAUUAGUGACCACAGUGACAAGCUGCUGGUUCCUAGGGAAGCAUCCAUGUGACUGAAAUAUAUAUUGUUUAUUUCUUCAUUAUAACAUGUUUCAAUAAGAUGAAAUUAAAUAUCUGACUCUCUAAAUUGUGCUCAUGGGCUGGGUAAACUUGUGUGAAUACAGGCAGGAUUUAUUGUAGGAUAUACUAGCAGGCCAAGUCCAGGGCCCUGUUCCACAAAGCGAUCGUAGUGCCAAGACGAUCGUAACUCCCAUACUAUAACAUAGACUUACGGCAGUCUUAGCCCUAAGAUCACUUUGUGGAACAGGGCCCUGAUUUGGGAAACAUUUAUUACAUAAUGUUGUUAAAGUAAGUGGAUAACAAUGAUAGAUACUUUGGAAGACAAUCAGAUUUGAAUGCAUGUAUAUGUAUAAAAUGAUUGACAGUUCUCUAAGAAAACUCUUUAAAAUCUAAACGCUUGCUGUGUUCGGGAAUAUGUUCAAUUGAGCUUGACUUUUUUACAAGCACCUCUAUCAAUUUGUUUUAAUAACCAAUGUCAUUUAUCACCUGAACACUUUCAGGGAAUCAAUUAUCUAUAUUUGUAUAUAUGGUAAAUAUUCCAUGAUUGUAAUAUUGAUAAUAUGGUUUGCCAAGUACAACGCAAUCUUUUAUUUAUUUUAUACCUACCUCUAAAUGUGUAUCAACUUUGAUGUGUUUGUCUACAAUAAUACCCUUGUUACAACCAUACAUUAGAAUCCGUGAGUUUGAUGUAUGAUUUAGUAUUUUUGUGACAGAAAAUGGUAAUGCUAACACAAGUAUGUAUAACACAUUCCUCUAUCACAAUUACAAAACAUGGGGAGUGCAAAUCCUUGCAUGUGCCUUAAACUUACAUUUUUUUCAAACUAAAGACUAGAAAAGCCAUGUCUCUUUUCACAUCCUUGACAAUAAUGAGUCUUGGAUAUUGUCAUAUAAUGUGGAAUCAUAUUUGAUAGUUGUGAUAGUGUAUAUCAUGCAUGUAGGUUGUGGGGGGUUUAAAGAUAUACAGUGUUUCAGGCUGGUGUAUAUCAUGCAUGUAGGUUGUGUGAGGUUAAAGAUAUACAGUGUUUCAGGCUGGUGUAUAUCAUGCAUUUAGGCCAUGUGGGGCUAAAGAUAUACAGUGUUUCAGGCUGGUGUAUAUCAUGCAUGUAGGUUGUGUGGGGUUCAAGAUAUACAGUGUUUCAGGCUGGUGUAUAUCAUGCAUGUAGGUCAUGUGGGGUUAAAGAUAUACAGUGUUUCAGGCUGGUGUAUAUCAUGCAUAUAGGUUGUGUGAGGUUAAAGAUAUACAGUGUUUCAGGCUGGUGUAUAUCAUGCAUGUAGGCCAUGUGGGGUUAAAGAUAUACAGUGUUUCAGGCUGGUGUAUAUCAUGCAUGUAGGUUGUGUGGGGUUAAAGAUAUACAGUGUUUCAGGCUGGUGUAUAUCAUGCAUUUAGGCCAUGUGGGGUUAAAGAUAUACAGUGUUUCAGGCUGGUGUAUAUCAUGCAUGUAGGUUGUGUGGGGUUAAAGAUAUACAGUGUUUCAGGCUGAUGUAUAUCAUGCAUGUAGGUCAUGUGGGGUUAAAGAUAUACAGUGUUUCAGGCUGGUGUAUAUCAUGCAUGUAGGUUGUGUGGGGUUAAAGUUAUACAGUGUUUCAGGCUGGUGUAUAUCAUGCAUGUAGGUUGUGUGAGGUUAACGAUAUACAGUGUUUCAGGCUGGUGUAUAUCAUGCAUGUAGGUUGUGUGGGGUUAAAGAUAUACAGUGUUUCAGGCUGGUGUAUAUCAUGCAUGUAGGUUGUGUGGGGUUAAAGAUAUACAUUGGUUCAGGCUGGUGUAUAUCAUGCAUGUAGGUUGUGUGGGGUUAAAGAUAUACAGUGUUUCAGGCUGGUGUAUAUCAUGCAAGUAGGUUGUGUUGGGUUAAAGAUAUACAGUGUUUCAGGCUGGUGUAUAUCAUGCAUGUAGGUUGUGUGGGGUUAAAGAUAUACAGUGUCUCAGGGUGGUGUAUAUCAUGCAUGUAGGUUGUGUGGGGUUAAAGAUAUACAGUGUUUCAGGCUGGUGUAUACCAUGCAUGUAGGUUGUGUUGGGUUAAAGAUAUACAAUGUGUCAGUUUGGUGUAUAUCAUCCCCAAAACACACUUGCGUUUCAGGUUACCUGGCCAACUAUUUAUUUCGCUUGCCACCCAAAUGUUUUUAUCAUUGUUUCUGCAUAUUAUGGUUGCUUUAUUUAUUUUGACCUACAACAUAUAUAUGUUUGAGAAACAUAUAACCUCAGUUUUAAACAAACGGUGUGUGCUAAAAGUCAUGAAAAAAAUAAUAUAGAAAAUUGAACCCUACCAACGGAACCCAUACAACCACAAACCUGUACAACCUAGGCUUUUAGCCUGGUGUUGAGAAGAGGUAACAAUAUAUAUGUUUCUAUGGAGUUAAUCAGCGCUACAUGGUUAUUAUUUACUGUAUACAGGUCUAUGUCUUCCAGCACUGAUGGCUGCGAUAUUUCAUGGUUUAUAGUUGCAGGAAUAUCUCUACAGACAAACUUUCUGGACAUUAGCCACAAAACAAAGUCAGAUCAACUUUUUAAAUGAUCUGAGUGCUACGCCCAAAAUGAUUUUCGUGUUGCAGCUGUCUUGUUUAUUAUUUACAUGAAUCUCACAACAUUAUUUGUCAUGAACAUUGUUCCAAUAUUAUCAAUAUUUCAAAAGUAAAAUACCUUUUUCAGGAUGAACAAAGGAUGCACAAAUAAUUAAUUAUUUGUUUCUAGUUUUGAAAAAAAGGUGGGGUAAGCACUCUCAUUAAACAAGGAUAUGUCAUGCUGAAUUAUUGUUUGUUUUUAAGGAAUAAGUGUCAGUGAAAAAUAGCAAUAAAUUCUUAAACUGCUGAAGACAUAGCUUGCUGAAGGUGUUAUGAUAGCUAUGGUAUUUAUAUACAUGAUACAGUGAUGUUCUGAGUUCCAUGAUACUGAUCAAGUACUCAGGAUCAGCAUGUGUUUCCAAGUAGAGCAAUAAUAUUCUUGCAUAUAUAUAUUAGAUGCACAAAUUAUGAGCAUGUGUAUGCACACAAUACAUCAAUUAUACAACGAUAACAUUGUAUACUGUUACUAGGCCAAUACAACAUUGUAUACAUUGAUAACAUUGUAUACAGUUAGUAGGCAAAUACAGCAUUGUAUACAUUGAUAACAUUGUGUACAGUUAGUAGGCCAAUACAACAUUGUAAACAUUGAUAACAUUGUGUACAGUUAGAAGGCCAAUACAACAUUGUAUACUUUGAUAACAUUGUGUACAGUUAGUAGGCGUAUACAACAUUGUAUACAUUGAUAACAUUGUGUACAGUUAGUGAGUCAAUACAGCAUUGUAUACAUUGAUAACAUUGCAUACAGUUAGGGCAGUACAACAUUAUAUACAUUGAUGACAUUGUAUACAGUUAGUAGGCAAAUACAACAUUGUAUACAUUGAUAACAUUGUGUACAGUUAGUAGGCCAAUACAACAUUGUAUACAUUGAUAACAUUGUGUACAGUUAGAAGGCCAAUACAACAUUGUAUACUUUGAUAACAUUGUGUACAGUUAGUAGGCCAAUACAACAUUGUAUACAUUGAUAACAUUGUGUACAGUUAGUGAGUCAAUACAGCAUUGUAUACAUUGAUAACAUUGCAUACAGUUAGGGCAGUACAACAUUAUAUACAUUGAUAACAUUGUAUACAGUUAGAAGGCUAAUACAACAUUGUAUACAUUGAUAACAUUGCAUACAGUUAGGGCAGUACAGCAUUGUAUACAUUGAUAACAUUGCAUACAGUUAGUAGGCCAAUACAACAUUGUAUACAUUGAUAACAUUGCAUACAGUUAGGGCAGUACAACAUUAUAUACAUUGAUAACAUUGUAUACAGUUAGUAGGCUAAUACAGCAUUGUAUACAUUGAUAACAUUGCAUAGUUAGGGCAGUACAACAUUGUAUACAUUGAUAACAUUGUAUACAGUUAGUAGGCUAAUACAACAUUGUAUACAUUGAUAACAUUGCAUACAGUUAGGGCAGUACAACAUUAUAUACAUUGAUAACAUUGUAUACAGUUAGUAGGCUAAUACAACAUUGUAUACAUUGAUAACAUUGCAUACAGUUAGGUCAGUACAACAUUGUAUACAUUGAUAACAUUGCAUACAGUUAGGGCAGUACAGCAUUGUAUACAUUGAUAACAUUGCAAACAAUUAGUAGGCCAAUACAAUAUUGUAUACAUUGAUAACAUUGCAUAGUUAGGGCAGUACAACAUUGUAUACAUUGAUAACAUUGCAUACAGUUAGGUCAGUACAACAUUGUACAUAGUGAUAUUGCAUACAGUUAGUAGGCCAAUACAACAUUGUAUACAUUGAUAACAUUGCAUACAGUUAGGGCAGUACAGCAUUGUAUACAUUGAUAACAUUGCAAACAAUUAGUAGGCCAAUACAACAUUGUAUACAUUGAUAACAUUGCAUACAGCUAGGGCAGUACAGCAUUGUAUACAUUGAUAACAUUGCAAACAGUUAGGGCAGUACAACAUUAUAUACUAGUACAUUGAUAACAUUGUAUACAGUUAUUAGGCCAAUACAACAUUGUAUACAUCAUGUACAUUGAUAACAGUGCAUACAGUUAGGGCAGUACAACAUUGUAUACAUUGGUGUCUAAGCAGCCUAUGAUACCCAGCUUCAUGGUGAAUGUGUUGAAUUAUAUAACAGACGGGACAGCUCAAAGUAGGAACACUAAGGUACUGCUGGCAAAAAAAAUUCAAAGCUGAGCAUUUUUUUUCUUGCAUGUGUGUUCCAGUAGUGUCUCAGGAUAUUUAUGUCACUAUUACAAAAUGAAUAUCACAAUGUGAUUGAAAAACUAUUUGUUGUAUGUUUAUCAAGAUAUACAAGAUUCUUGACAUAAUCCACUGACAGCUGUAUUUGGACAAGAUCUUUUCGUUACGCCUUUUUUAAAAUUAAAGUCUGCAUACAAACAUUAUUGAUAUAGAAUAAAUUACCAUUGACAAUCAGAUAGCCUGCAGUGCAGAAUUAAGAGCAUGAAAUGUUGGUUUCAUUCAGGUUGUGGUGACAAUCAUGCCCUUUUCAUGCAGGACGUGUGUUCUGUAUCAUCCUGGCCGUUUGUUUACUAUUUCAUAUUUCUCUUUAAAUUUAAUACAUUGCAUGAGUUUAUUUGGCUUCUAAUGAAUUUGGUAUUAAAUAUUUCUGCAGAAA